GGCAGCACGGGAGCAAUCCUGGUGGCGAGUGGCGAACGGGUGAGUAAUACAUCGGAACGUGCCCAAUCGUGGGGGAUAACGCAGCGAAAGCUGUGCUAAUACCGCAUAAGAUCUACGGAUGAAAGCAGGGGACCCGCAAGGGCCUUGCGCGAAUGGAGCGGCCGAUGGCAGAUUAGGUAGUUGGUGAGGUAAAGGCUCACCAAGCCUUCGAUCUGUAGCUGGUCUGAGAGGACGACCAGCCACACUGGGACUGAG
Molecule: ribosomal RNA, 255 nt
Filed under: uncultured Variovorax sp.
Lineage: Bacteria; Pseudomonadati; Pseudomonadota; Betaproteobacteria; Burkholderiales; Comamonadaceae
Description: partial 16S ribosomal RNA
Rfam family: Bacterial small subunit ribosomal RNA
Source: RNAcentral